AGCACUCUGUAUUACAGUUGGAAAUGAGAGACUUACAUCAGCUAGCAACACUUCCACAGUUGUGUUAAACAGCUUAUCACCAGGGUGCUCCAUGUUUCCACUUCUGAAGAAGUACCUGAUAGGAAAGGUCUGUUCUCCAGUCUGACAAAGAGAGAAGAAACUUUGCUGAACCAGGCAGGAUGGCUCCUUUUGGUGCCAACCUCAGUUUCUACUGUUCAUAGAUAGGGAUACCCAUCACCAGUGAGACUGCAAAGAAAGAAGUCCACAAGCCACAUAACCUUAAGUCAGACUGACAGAUCUAUGGGCACUCCAGUGAGAACUCCAGCACUAGAUCACAUUGCUACAGGUGCACCUACAAUUGAGAAGGCUGCAGAAAGUUAUCCAUUGUCAUGGGCAUGGCCAAGUUGGUUUUUCAGUUAAGCCAAAAAUGCUGCCAAUGUUUCUUUAUAUAAAAUCACCCUAGAGGAGGGUCAUAAUUUCAACAAAACAUAAACCCCCGCAAAAUGGUUGAUGAGUUCCUUAUUAUUGCUUAUGAAAGUUCUUUUUAACUAUCACAUGAGAGUUAGGAGAAGAUGUAACUGUAUAUUUUGUAUUAGAUUUCAACAGAAUUCAUUAUGAUUUGUGCAGGUAUUAGCUGAUUUUGCAUGUGGAUGAAAAAGUUACACUGAAGAUUUAUUAAUAUCUUUUAAAGAAUCUCAUCACCUUUCCAUUUGCUUCUAACUUUAGCAAACCGAGUACAUAAUGAAUUCUCCUUGGCUUCCUCAUUCAUGUUCAUUUUAGAGGAAAAAAUGUCAGCUAAUGCAUCUCAGCCAUAUGAAUAUAUGAAUAAAACCAGUA
This is a long non-coding RNA of Pezoporus occidentalis (night parrot), 837 nucleotides long. RefSeq lists it as uncharacterized. The transcript is spliced from 4 exons. Lineage: Eukaryota; Metazoa; Chordata; Aves; Psittaciformes; Psittacidae. The record is from RefSeq and is a predicted model, not a curated record.